Plesiomonas shigelloides 302-73 is the source of this 97-nucleotide non-coding RNA. It matches the Rfam family "Bacterial small signal recognition particle RNA". From Rfam's summary of the family: The signal recognition particle (SRP) is a universally conserved ribonucleoprotein involved in the co-translational targeting of proteins to membranes. Archaeal SRP consists of a 7S RNA and homologues of the eukaryotic SRP19 and SRP54 proteins. NCBI's taxonomy places the organism in Bacteria, Pseudomonadati, Pseudomonadota, Gammaproteobacteria, Enterobacterales, Enterobacteriaceae. The record is from Rfam.
UAUUGGUCCUCCCGCAUUGAUACUAUGUCGACCUGGUCAGGUCCGGAAGGAAGCAGCCAAGGCAUAGGACUCGAGUGCCGGGAUGUGGCUGGUAGGG